This 1112-nucleotide unclassified non-coding RNA is filed under the name Cakile geniculata. Its description in RNAcentral is "partial external transcribed spacer". The record is from RNAcentral. Lineage: Eukaryota; Viridiplantae; Streptophyta; Magnoliopsida; Brassicales; Brassicaceae.
AAAGAAAAUUUUCUGAAAGGAAACAUCACAAAUAUGUCACUAAAGAGUUUAAGAUGUCAAGUGUUGAUCAAAAGUUGCCAUAGACACCCGUAAAGGCCAUAUGAAAGCUCGAUAAUUGUGGCAUCCAAAAGUCAUGGCUAGAAGCAAAAGAAAAUUAUGAAAAUUUACCAGAAAAUAGCUUCAACCAUCCUUAUGAAGCAUGCAAAAAAUCAGACUCAAAUUCGAAGUAUUUUUUUUUUUACAUUAAAAAUACUCACGGAACACAAUCAAUGUCUACUGCUGAAAGUCUGAAAAAAAGCCAUUUGUCUAUAUAAGGGGUAGGCACUCUUCAGUGCCUAACCCCCCAAGGUUGGACGUCCGUAUGGGUGUGGGCAAUGUCCGAGUGCCUAGUGCACGACGACUGUCCGUACGUACGUCCGACCUCCGGGCUGUCUCCGGUGACUUUUCCGGCGACUUUCCGGCGACCGCCAAAAUGACCGUUUUGCCCCUGAUUUUUUUUUCGCGCUUGUGCGGUCUUGGCCUGGUUUCGUUUGUCUUCCUGUUGCUCUACUGAUUUUCAUCAGACGAGUGGCAGGAAAGAUCGACGUUAGCGGGGCAAAUGAACGUUCGGCGUAUGAGUGGUGAUUGGAUAGCCAGUGUUUGUAGGCUCCGUGCUUGCGCACCCAACUACAGACCAACUAUCCUUCUCAGUUUCUUCACAAGCAUAGAUAUGCUUGCUGACUUGAUCCUGGGCYUGUGYUGCGUACCUAUCCAGAAGGAAUUGUUGAGCCUNGCUCGAUAUUUUGUUUGCGGCAUCUCCUUCACCGGAGAGGUCGUGAACACAAAAGCCGGCACUUGUGAUCCUUUCGGCUAUUGCAUAAACUAUGCAUUGCUCGCAAAGGUGAACAAGCUGUCAGCUGAAAUCUCGGUUGCGGAAAUCUUAUGGACGGUGACUCGAAGUAAUUCGGUCCCGCCAAGCAUAAUUGUCUCCGGACAAAAGAUGACGGCCAAGACCUUUUGUGUUCCUGCUUUCCUAGCGUUUGCGRRAAUCCUACWUUCCUAGCGUUUGCGGGAAUCUUGCUUUCCUAGCGUUUGCGGGAAUACGAUUCGGUCUUGCCGUGAUUUAUGAAUGC